CACUUCAGCCAGAACAUAUUUUUAUGCAGGUUUCAAAGGGGAGUAUCACAAGCUCUCCCGACUUUUCUGUCGCUCCGGCCGGAAAUUGUCAAACCUCAGGGGAGAGUAUCACAAGCUCUCCCGACACUUCUGUCGCUCUGGCCAGAAGUCGUCAAACAUGAGCACGGUGAGUCUGUCGCUUCGCCCAGAUUCACCGAGGAUUGGCUAAAGUAAGGAGAAGAAUAUCGCAAGAGGUAUUUUCGGUCAAU
This 248-nucleotide long non-coding RNA is filed under the name Zostera marina. RNAcentral describes it as "long non-coding RNA (ZMAR_LNC004589)". Lineage: Eukaryota; Viridiplantae; Streptophyta; Magnoliopsida; Alismatales; Zosteraceae. The record is from RNAcentral.